This is a long non-coding RNA of Hypomesus transpacificus, 259 nucleotides long. RefSeq lists it as uncharacterized. The record is from RefSeq and is a predicted model, not a curated record. The transcript is spliced from 3 exons. Lineage: Eukaryota; Metazoa; Chordata; Actinopteri; Osmeriformes; Osmeridae.
AUGCACUCAGCGUGGUCGUUAUCUCGCUGGUAAACACAGUGGCUCGGGCAUCGCUUCUGUCUCGUCAUAUGGGUCGUCGCAGUCCGUCGCGACACAAAGGACGCUGCGAGCUGCCGUGCAGCAGCCUGGAUGCAGCACAGCCGGCUAUAGGAAGAGGCGUCUAUGCGGCAUGGUUUGACGCGUAUGAGCCUGGAGAGGCGGAGCAGCCGCAGCAGGCUGAGGAUCUUGGUGAAGCGGACGAUCCGCAGCGCCCUCGCCG